AUUGAACGCUGGCGGCAUGCCUUACACAUGCAAGUCGAACGGCAGCACAGGGGCAACCCUGGUGGCGAGUGGCGGACGGGUGAGUAAUGCAUCGGAACGUGCCCUGAAGUGGGGGAUAACGCAGCGAAAGCUACGCUAAUACCGCAUAUUCUGUGAGCAGGAAAGCAGGGGAUCGCAAGACCUUGCGCUUUGGGAGCGGCCGAUGUCGGAUUAGCUAGUUGGUGGGGUAAAGGCCUACCAAGGCGACGAUCCGUAGCGGGUCUGAGAGGAUGAUCCGCCACACUGGGACUGAGACACGGCCCAGACUCCUACGGGAGGCAGCAGUGGGGAAUAUUGCACAAUGGGCGAAAGCCUGAUGCAGCAACGCCGCGUGAGCGAUGGAGGCCUUCGGGUCGUAAAGCUCUGUCCUCAAGGAAGAUAAUGACGGUACUUGAGGAGGAAGCCCCGGCUAACUACGUGCCAGCAGCCGCGGUAAU
This 476-nucleotide ribosomal RNA is filed under the name uncultured bacterium. Its description in RNAcentral is "bacterial SSU rRNA". It matches the Rfam family "Bacterial small subunit ribosomal RNA", at positions 29 to 524 of the family's 1533-position model. The record is from RNAcentral.